Long non-coding RNA from Rhineura floridana, 365 nucleotides. RefSeq lists it as uncharacterized. NCBI's taxonomy places the organism in Eukaryota, Metazoa, Chordata, Lepidosauria, Squamata, Rhineuridae. The transcript is spliced from 3 exons. The record is from RefSeq and is a predicted model, not a curated record.
GUUUGUGUAUAAAGCACGUUUACAUAUAAGGGCCAUGGAUUUUCGGGUGUACUAUAUAGGCAGAAUAACUUGGCUUUAAUAACUAACAGUGCAAGCCUAUGCAUAUCUACUUUGAAGAAAGCCUCACUGAGUUCAACUGCAUUUACAGACAGAUUCAAGUUGCUCUGCAUCCUCUGAAAUAGUUUCACCAUCUGGUUCAUCAGAUGCUUUCUUCUCUUCGUUGUAAUACUGGAAGAACAUAAAGAUGCAUUUUCCAGAAUGUUGAUAACAGUACUGGAUCUUCCCUUUUCCCACUGUCGUCUGUGAGGGUUUGGUAAAACAGCUUCCAGGGACACAUCAUACUUUCCUAAUAAAAUGUUUUAUUA